This is a long non-coding RNA of Myzus persicae (green peach aphid), 600 nucleotides long. RefSeq lists it as uncharacterized. Lineage: Eukaryota; Metazoa; Arthropoda; Insecta; Hemiptera; Aphididae. The transcript has 6 exons. The record is from RefSeq and is a predicted model, not a curated record.
UUAAUAUCAAGCGGAGCAGCGUCCGUAAUAGAACGAUCGGAGAUGAAUUCGUGUUCGAAAAGAAAACUUGAAGUUGUAUUACCUUCUCUAGUGUAUGGAUCUGAAGUUGAAGAAAGGGUUGAACAGAACAAACCAUCAGUGUGUUUUGGACCGUCGCGUUGCUACAGUGGAUGAUUUGCCUGUGUACCAGUCUACAGCCUGUCAAACUAAGAAAAAUAGUCAAACUUGCUGAAAAAUAUGCAUAGUCGACAUUAGUCGAUACAUACUGCCAAAGAAAAUUUAAUAAAACUUCUUAAGGUAAUUAGUCAUUGUCAAAACUCAACGGUUUCAAUUUUUAAUAUCCCGGAUUGGAAGAUAAUUUUACCAUUACAAGAAUUAAAACCUAUGGAUAAUCAAGAUACAUCAACACCUGCCAUGAUUCCUUAUACAUGGUUUAGUGGCCUAUGUUCGGUACAUUAGAUUAACCAAUUUUUCAUUAAAUCUAACAUAAGCCACCUAAAGAUAUGCUGAAAAGGAAUAAGAAAGAAAAGGAAAGUGCCAUAGAAAAUAGUAGAAAAUUAAUACAAUAGUGUUAAAACAGUUUGAUAUCCACGGGUAUUU